Molecule: long non-coding RNA, 2340 nt
Filed under: Drosophila melanogaster (fruit fly)
Lineage: Eukaryota; Metazoa; Arthropoda; Insecta; Diptera; Drosophilidae
Description: long non-coding RNA:CR31781 (Dmel_CR31781)
Source: RNAcentral
GGCCAGUCGUCAGUCAGUUGGCCAACAAACUGGUAGCGUCUGGUGUGGCGAGCCAACAAAAGGCUGGCAGAGCGGCCAACACCGGACCCGGCCCGAAACUGAAUCCGGGUCCGGGUCUGGGUCCGUGUCCGUGUCCGGGUUGGUUUCGCAGCAUCUACGGCAUCACGGCUGCCAAUUGAGCGGAGUUUGGGUCUCAAUUUGACGCGUAGCCAGCCAAGAAGAGUGGCCGGCCAACAACAAAAACAGGUGACGCAGGAUGUGGCCAACUGAGUAGGGAGAUGGCGGAAGAGCAGGAGGCGCAGGAGGAGGAGGAGGAGGAGGAGGAGGAGGAAACGCAGCACACUUUUUUGGCCACGGUCCGCGUUUGAUUAGCCAACUCAAACAUCAGGGCCAAGAUCAGGGCAAUUGACAGCUCUGCUCCCUCAGUUUCUGCUUCCGCUUGGCACACAGUCACAGAGACACACAUUGCCUUAUGGCCACUGGACGAUGGACCACAGUGGAGCCUGGGCAGUACGCAACACCUGACGCUGCCCGCCAGGAUACUCCCGUUCGUCUCGAUCAUACAGCAAAUAAGAAACAUUAAAUAAACAAUCAAAGAAACGGAGUAUUGCUCCGCAACUGCCAACAACAUUCAACGACAACCAGUUGCUCUGUGGUGCUAGAAAGUGAGUGUAAACAGUGUGUGCCUUUGUGAACUGAACUGACCAACGUGCCAAGAACGAAGGGACGAGGAGGUGGGCACUCUGGCUCGGACCCAAGCGAUUUGGCAGGAGCUGAUUGUUUCAUCUGGCCAGGCUUAAUGAAAUAACUCGUCCUGGCCGCGGCUCCAUGUCAAACGCAGCAGGGCAAUCGCCAGCGAAGCCCCAAAGGAUAAGCAUCGUCCAGAACAUCGGAAUCUCCAGCGAAGGAUGCACCAAAAACAUUAUCCACAGGACUAAGAUGCCAAAGGAAACUUUCAAGAUCCGUUUCCAAAACAAAACAUAAAAUAUAUUCAAUAAAAAUGAAGUGGAAAUGAAAUGAUACAUAAUAAAUACCCUAAUACAUAACAGAAACAAAAGCAAGUCACUAAACUUGACUGCAAAUAUAAUACGAUGACACUUAAUAGAAACAUUGUAAUAAAAUUGAAAAGAAGUAGACAAGAAUAACCACUCAUAAAACUAAAAUACCCAGCCUAUAACUAUUUUUCAAAUAGUUGGCAUAGUGCUUACUAUGAACCAUAAUCGCAUAUGAUAUAACCAAUAUUGAGCACUUAAUAUAGCCCAAUAUUAUAUAGACCCAAAUAUGAAAUAGUCACAAACAAUAGUGCAAUACAAUACGUUUAUAAAACAACGUCAAAAGUUUUAUAACGAAAAUAUAUUUCUUUAUAAUGAGCACUUUCGAACAACUACAUUUAAUAUAAAAUAGCGCGGGAAGUCUUCGGCGUGGUGAAAGUAUAAGGUGUAAGCACAGCUGAGAAGAAAGGAAUUUACAAAAUCGAAGGAAGAAGUGAAAGAAGGAGUGAAAAAACAUCUAAGCGCGGAAAAGUGCUACAAAAUGAAGCUGACAUCCUAAAGGAAACCUUGUUGGCCAAUUGGGGAGGAGGCCCAGAAGGUCGGGCCGAUUUUCCGCUGCAACCGACGAAGGUCUGACCAACCAAUCGCAACGCACAGCGGCGACGAAGCCCGGCCGAAUGGGAGCAUCUCGGGCAAACGGAGGGACAGUCAGCCGCCCUGCAAUGCAUUUCUUUUGGCAACGAGUCAAGCGGCCUUUCACACACACACACACACACAUUAGGAUUCCAUAAGGAUACUCUGCCUCGCUCACAUGCGCAUCGAGUGGUAUACGUAAUAUAUCAAGUAUACGCCUGUUGGCCGGGCAGAAAGUCUGUGAGUGUGUGCGAAUGGCCAAACAGAGUGUUGCCAACUGCAUUGCCGGGCUGCCAACGACUCAACCCCCGACCCGAGGACACCACCCUCCUCCCGGCCAGGAGGCCAACGACGAGUCCUUUUUGGAGGCAGCGCAUUGGCUGCAGGACGACCGGCGACAGGACGACCAAUCACCAAUCAAAUCGCGGCUUGUGCGCACUAUCACGGCCGUACGAAGGGCCAAAGGCACGGCAUCCAGGACCUCAGCCGGAGACCCCAAGCCGAUUGUCAAUCUCUUAGACAUAUUAUUAUGCCAACGUCUCCUAUAUUAUAGUUCUCUAGUCGUAAGUCACAUGCCCAAGCCAUCGCCCCAGAACAUCGGGGACAUGAAACAUUAGUUUUAUUGAUAGAGUUCUUAGUUUCGAGCAGAAGCUAUACGAUGAUGAUUUCAAGAAUGAGAAAACGGAAUAAAAACUGUAAAGCUUCAGAGCGGAAC